RNAcentral lists this ribosomal RNA (689 nucleotides) under uncultured Bacteroidota bacterium. RNAcentral describes it as "bacterial SSU rRNA". It matches the Rfam family "Bacterial small subunit ribosomal RNA", at positions 173 to 865 of the family's 1533-position model. The record is from RNAcentral. Lineage: Bacteria; Pseudomonadati; Bacteroidota.
AACAUAUAAAAAUGGCAUCAUUAUUAUAUUAUAGCUUCGGCGCUUAUUGAUGGGUGUGCGGCUGAUUAGGUAGUUGGCGGGGUAACGGCCCACCAAGCCUACGAUCAGUAGCUGAUGUGAGAGCAUGAUCAGCCACACGGGCACUGAGACACGGGCCCGACUCCUACGGGAGGCAGCAGUAAGGAAUAUUGGACAAUGGGCGAAAGCCUGAUCCAGCCAUGCCGCGUGAAGGAUUAAGGUCCUCUGGAUUGUAAACUUCUUUUAUUUGGGACGAAAAAAGGGAAUUCUUUCCCACUUGACGGUACCAGAUGAAUAAGCACCGGCUAACUCCGUGCCAGCAGCCGCGGUAAUACGGAGGGUGCAAGCGUUAUCCGGAUUCACUGGGUUUAAAGGGUGCGUAGGUGGGUAGGUAAGUCAGUGGUGAAAUCUCUGAGCUUAACUCGGAAACUGCCAUUGAUACUAUUUAUCUUGAAUAUUGUGGAGGUAAGCGGAAUAUGUCAUGUAGCGGUGAAAUGCUUAGAUAUGACAUAGAACACCCAUUGCGAAGGCAGCUUACUACGCAUAUAUUGACACUGAGGCACGAAAGCGUGGGGAUCAAACAGGAUUAGAUACCCUGGUAGUCCACGCCCUAAACUAUGGAUACUCGACAUACGCAAUACAUCGUGUGUGUCUGAGCGAAAGCAUUAAGU